UACGUAGGGGGCUAGCGUUGUCCGGAAUCAUUGGGCGUAAAGCGCGUGUAGGCGGUCCGGUAAGUCCGCUGUGAAAGUCGAGGGCUCAACCCUCGAAUGCCGGUGGAUACUGUCGGGCUUGAGUACGGGAGAGGCGAGUGGAAUUCCUGGUGUAGCGGUGAAAUGCGUAGAUAUCGGGAGGAACACCAGUGGCGAAGGCGACUACCUGGCCUGUUUCUUGACGCUGAGGCGCGAAAGCUAGGGGAGCAAACGGG
Molecule: ribosomal RNA, 254 nt
Filed under: uncultured bacterium
Lineage: Bacteria
Description: partial 16S ribosomal RNA
Rfam family: Bacterial small subunit ribosomal RNA
Source: RNAcentral